GAUGAACGCUGGCGGCGUGCCUAAUACAUGCAAGUCGAGCGAGCAGACGAGGAGCUUGCUCCUCUGACGUUAGCGGCGGACGGGUGAGUAACACGUGGAUAACCUACCUAUAAGACUGGGAUAACUUCGGGAAACCGGAGCUAAUACCGGAUAAUAUAUUGAACCGCAUGGUUCAAUAGUGAAAGACGGUUUUGCUGUCACUUAUAGAUGGAUCCGCGCCGCAUUAGCUAGUUGGUAAGGUAACGGCUUACCAAGGCAACGAUGCGUAGCCGACCUGAGAGGGUGAUCGGCCACACUGGAACUGAGCCACGGUCCAGACUCCUACGGGAGGCAGCAGUAGGGAAUCUUCCGCAAUGGGCGAAAGCCUGACGGAGCAACGCCGCGUGAGUGAUGAAGGUCUUCGGAUCGUAAAACUCUGUUAUUAGGGAAGAACAAAUGUGUAAGUAACUAUGCACGUCUUGACGGUACCUAAUCAGAAAGCCACGGCUAACUACGUG
Molecule: ribosomal RNA, 497 nt
Filed under: uncultured bacterium
Lineage: Bacteria
Description: partial 16S ribosomal RNA
Rfam family: Bacterial small subunit ribosomal RNA
Source: RNAcentral